RNAcentral lists this transfer RNA (76 nucleotides) under Acidobacteriota bacterium. RNAcentral describes it as "tRNA-Ala". It matches the Rfam family "tRNA". From Rfam's summary of the family: Transfer RNA (tRNA) molecules are approximately 80 nucleotides in length. RNAcentral also lists the same sequence under 3 other names. Lineage: Bacteria; Pseudomonadati; Acidobacteriota. The record is from RNAcentral.
GGGGCUGUAGCUCAAUUGGGAGAGCGCUUGAAUGGCAUUCAAGAGGUCGUCGGUUCGAUCCCGAUCAGCUCCACCA